RNAcentral lists this ribosomal RNA (478 nucleotides) under uncultured bacterium. RNAcentral's name for it is "partial 16S ribosomal RNA". It matches the Rfam family "Bacterial small subunit ribosomal RNA", at positions 28 to 523 of the family's 1533-position model. The record is from RNAcentral.
GACGAACGCUGGCGGCGUGCUUAACACAUGCAAGUCGAACGGUAAGGCCCUUCGGGGUACACGAGUGGCGAACGGGUGAGUAACACGUGGGUGAUCUGCCCUGCACUUCGGGAUAAGCCUGGGAAACUGGGUCUAAUACCGGAUAGGACCCUGGGAUGCAUGUCCUGGGGGGGAAAGCUUCUGCGGUGUGGGAUGGGCCCGCGGCCUAUCAGCUUGUUGGUGGGGUGAUGGCCUACCAAGGCGACGACGGGUAGCCGGCCUGAGAGGGUGACCGGCCACACUGGGACUGAGAUACGGCCCAGACUCCUACGGGAGGCAGCAGUGGGGAAUAUUGCACAAUGGGCGCAAGCCUGAUGCAGCGACGCCGCGUGAGGGAUGACGGCCUUCGGGUUGUAAACCUCUUUCAGCACCGACGAAGCGCAAGUGACGGUAGGUGCAGAAGAAGGACCGGCCAACUACGUGCCAGCAGCAGCCGCCG